RNAcentral lists this long non-coding RNA (2157 nucleotides) under Nicotiana benthamiana. RNAcentral's name for it is "long non-coding RNA (NBEN_LNC035250)". Lineage: Eukaryota; Viridiplantae; Streptophyta; Magnoliopsida; Solanales; Solanaceae. The record is from RNAcentral.
CUCCUAGAACUACUAUAAAGCGUUCAAUUAUUCAUAAAACAAAUACCUACAUGAUUCUGAUGGAAGAUCUAUUCUAAUGUAUAUACAAAUAAAUAGACAACUACAAAUGUUAAAAAAACUUUCAACUUUUCAUUUCUUUGUAUUCACGCUUCAAGUCUCAGCUUACAAGAACCCGUGUGUAAGUCGUGUACCUGAUAUUGGAGAUCAAAGGAAGAAGAGGAUAAUCAGCAGUAGCAAAGCAAUAACACAGCAACAACAGUAGAGCAAUAAUGGCAAUGACCCAGAAACAGAUUUGGAAACCAGUUUGAACAAACUCCAACAACCGGUGGAAAAGCAACUCCAAAACAAACAACCAACCUCAAAAAAUCCAAAAACAAAUCCAACAAUACCAACACCCACAGCAGAACAGAAUGAACCAGAAACAAAGAGGAAGUAAUAGAACAGUUCUGAUUUUCUUCUUAAACGCUCGAGAUAGAACACUCUUCAACUAAAAAAAUUCAAUUUAUGUUUAAGCUCUCAAACUUUCUCUACAAUUUUAAAGUAAGUCUUUUUCUCUCAAUCCUUCACUCUCAAGGUUCGAAGUCUGUUUUUAUCCCUUCACAAGUUCUGAAAAUUUGAUAUCUAAAUUCUUUCUUUUCUUUAAGUGUCAAAUGACUCAUAUUAUAUAUCAAUAGGUAGUCCCCUUUUUUCACUCUUUUCUUAUUAUUACUACCCCUUUUUCUUUUACUUUCCAGCUCAUUAUUCCUUUUAACUAUAUGGGUUAUUUACCCAUUUAUUAUUACCUAUACUAUUUCUGAUUUUCAAUUAAACAAAAGCAGUCAAACAAACCCCACAGUCUCCAUUUUUUGACUAACACAUUAAUGUUCUACUUAUUACUUAAUGGCCCCUCAUACCACUAUGUUUUAUUCCCCAUUACUUAUUAGUUUAAUACCAUUUAAUACUCAACUUUUAGAGUAUUAAUAUUAAACUAAUUAUCUAAUCUUCCAUUCCCAAAUUACCCAUGAAUCUAUUGAAAUUAUUAUUCUAUCCCCAUCCUUUCAAUCUGUAGCAAAAUUAUCAACUGACCAAAAUUGAUUCUUAAAACACCAAAUCACUAAAGCUAUAACUAAAUCAAGCCUAACAAUUGAAUAAUUAACACAUGAAACCAAUUUCCAAUCAACAACAUUAGGACAACCUUAAAAAAGUCAGAUUCAUAUCAGAAUUAACACAAUCCAGCAGACUUAAAUUACUAAAAUCAAUCAUAAAUUCAACUUCAAAUUAAAUCCAAAAAUAUUACAACCAAGAUAAAGGAUUCAAGUGAUUCAAACUAACACACUACUAUAUUAAAACUAAACAAGAAUAUAUGAAUAUAAAUGAACUGAAGAAAUAAUCAAGAAAUGAUAAACAGCGAACAAGACAAAAAAUCAAACAUAUACUGAUUUUAGAUUCGAGAAUAUCAAAUAAAAUACGGACAGAAAUGAAACUCAAUCCAACUAACCAGAUCGGAACAACGACGAACUCGAACGAAAACAAGUCUGCCCGGAAACUUUAAAACCAAAAUAACUCGAAUCUGCCCGGAAAUAUUUUGUAUGUUUUCCGGUUGAUUUCAGGCGAUGAACGAGCUGACUAUUGGUGGUGACAGACUGCUCAGAUGGUCGUUCAUGGCUCUUGUGCGACGGUGGGCAGUGGGGGUUUGUUUGGGGUCUGUUUGGUCGAAGGUUGCUAGUGGUUGACGAACCAACUGACUGUUGGUCGUGACUGUGUGUGAAAAUGAUCAUGACUGUGUGUGACUGCCACGGCUAUUGCUGGACGUCAAGGUUUGGAGGUUGGUUGACGAUGGCAGUAGGGGUUGUUGAGGACGGGCAGUGGACUGGUUGUUGGUUUUUUGGCGUGGUUGGGUUGUGAGUUGGUUGAGGGACGUUGGGGCUGUGAAGGUUCGACUGGCUGAAGGUGAAAGCUGGUUCGUUCAGGGUCGUGGUGGACGUAGGAACGGAGAUGGUGGUGUGAGGUUCAGGUGGUCAUGGUGUUGGAUGAAGGUCAUUUGGAAUGGUGGUUGGUUGACGAAGAAGGGGGAGGGCAUUCAUGGAUGGCUGGAGCUCCCGACUGGAGGGGUGGUUUGGAGAAGAUGAAUAGGGGUGGGUGCUAAGGUGUGACGGCUGAAAAUCUUUAGGGUGUGUC